RNAcentral lists this small RNA (892 nucleotides) under Pan troglodytes (chimpanzee). RNAcentral's name for it is "processed transcript". The record is from RNAcentral. Lineage: Eukaryota; Metazoa; Chordata; Mammalia; Primates; Hominidae.
ACGCGUUCUUUUGUUCCGGGGCCGCAGGGCGGGGCAGGCCCGACUUUCGCCGUCUUCUUGUCUGCUCUCCAGAACGGCCAUGAUUUCCCAAUUCUUCAUUCUGUCCUCCAAGGGGGACCCGCUCAUCUACAAAGACUUCCGCGGGGACAGUGGCGGCCGGGAUGUGGCCGAGCUCUUCUACCGGAAGCUGACGGGACUGCCAGGAGACGAGUCCCCGGUUGUCAUGGUAACCAGUGGCGGGAGGCGGGUGAGGAGCGGGGCCCCGUCGGGCCGGGUGGGCGCCAGCUCCCUCCCAGGACUGGUUCAUUGGUAGAUUCCACUUGGGGGGUCCAUUCCUCCAAAUAAAGCUAACGUGAGGCCCGGCGCGGUGGCUCACGCCUGUAAUCCCAGCACUUUGGGAGACCGAGGCGGGCGGAUCACCUGAGGUCAGGAGUUCGAAAUCAGCCUGGCCAACAUGGUGAAACUCCGCCUCUACUAAAAAUACAAAAAAAAAAAAAACAUAGCUGGGCGUGGUGGCGGGCGCCUGUAAUCCCAUCUACUCGGGAAGCUGAGGCAUGAGAAUCGCUUGAAUCCAAGAGGCGGAGGUUGCAGUGAGCCGAGAUCCGGACACCGCACUCCAGCCUGGGAGACAGAGCGAGACUCCCUCUCGGGCAUCACCAUGGCCGUCAUUUCAUUCACAUCAGACACAGCGGCCUCUAUUUGGUGGUCACAACUUCAGAAAACGUUUCUCCAUUCAGCCUCCUAGAACUGCUCUCCAGGUUGGCCACCCUUCUGGGCGAUUACUGUGGCUCCCUGGGCGAGGGGACCAUCUCCCGCAAUGUGGCUCUGGUAUACGAACUCCUGGAUGAAGUGCUGGACUAUGGCUAUGUACAGACCACAUCCACGGAGAUGC